GCCGACGUAGCUCAAUCGGCAGAGCGCCCGCCUUGUAAGCGGGUGGUUGCCGGUUCGAUUCCGGCCGUCGGCU
RNAcentral lists this transfer RNA (73 nucleotides) under Pseudomonadota bacterium. RNAcentral's name for it is "tRNA-Thr". It matches the Rfam family "tRNA". From Rfam's summary of the family: Transfer RNA (tRNA) molecules are approximately 80 nucleotides in length. The record is from RNAcentral. RNAcentral also lists the same sequence under 4 other names. Lineage: Bacteria; Pseudomonadati; Pseudomonadota.